Molecule: long non-coding RNA, 904 nt
Organism: Olea europaea var. sylvestris
Lineage: Eukaryota; Viridiplantae; Streptophyta; Magnoliopsida; Lamiales; Oleaceae
Exons: 3
Source: RefSeq, a predicted model, not a curated record
CUUCCUGAGUUUAUAAUUGCUGGUUAUUGGUUGAGUUAGUUGAAAAUUGGGCUCCAACCAUAACACUGUUCGUUGGUCCAAUUGACGAUCGAUUGUAGGUUGCACUGGAUAUGUAUGUGUGAACUCGUUUGGGGUUUUCCAUUUUAUGGAUGGUUAUUUCAGAAAUUCUAUUCUCUGAGUGAUGCGAAGACAAGUCGUAUGCCCCAAGAGGUUGAGGACGGGGUCUGUAAUCCCAAAAGCAUUCAAGAGAAGAUCUAAUGACGAGCUAUUGUGGCAAACUUGAUCAAUUGAAGACAAAAAGGUCGUUAUCAAAAGAAUCGCAAAUUGGCACCCAAUGAAAAUCAAGAUGGACGCCGAGCAUGGAUGCCAAAUCAAUCAAUACACCUCAUCAAGUUAAACAUCGAAGAUAUUAUUUGAAUUCAAGUGUAAAGGUAAAAUACUUUAAUUGUUAGCAAUGAAUCAUUCAAAACUCAAGAAGAAUCUUUAUGCAUGAGAAAUAAUUAUUUUAUAAUGAUACUAUCUAAAAGUUAAUUUUCAAGAGGUAAGAAUCUCAGCUUGAUAUUUAAACUUCUCAUAUAUGUCACUUAUCUUGAAAAAUAAAGUGAGAAUGCCUUCAAAAGACCACAUUUUUCAAAACGAUCAAAGAAGGAAAAAUCAAGGAAAAUUCUGUCUAAGCGAGCGUCUGAUUUAUCCAACAAUCCAAUUUUUAACCGUUUUGAAUUCUAACGGCUAGUUCGGUAUUAAAUGGUCUCAUUGAGUCGUCCAAUUGGUCAGAAACUUUGCUUUUUAACUGCUACAAAUACCACAUCACUUUGCAUUCAUUUUAACACUGUUGAGAGCAUUAAAGUUUGAUACUCUUGAGCCAAAUUAUUGAAUACACACCUAAUUUAUUUUUAUCAAAUCA